GCAGCUGUGUGUUAGGGCUAGGAUGGCUCCGGGAUGCGCGUGAGGCAAGUGACCUUGCGUGUAAAGGGAUACAUGAUCCCUUAAUUCAGGCUCAGGCUGAAGAACUGACCCACUUACGACAGAAGAUACAGGAAGGGAGAGGUGUCUGCUACCUUUUCACCCAGCAUGUGAAGAACACAGUCAAGUCUUUUGAGGGCCUUCUCAGGAACACUGACAUUGCCUACUACCAGAGACAGAGAUUCUGUGAGCAAAUGGUACAAGGAAGCCAGCUGACAGAGAUCCUUGUCAGAAAACUUGCCACAGGCACACUUUACUCCCAGUCAAAAGUGGACUGUAUACUUCCUCUUUGAUGUGAUGGUCCCUUUGGUUUUGGUGCCUCUUCCAUGAGCUUCAGAUCAGAACUAGCUAUGUGGUUCCAGGCUGCCUUGGUUUAAUCCCUUGUCUUGCCUACUUCACCUGGCUCAAGAGGGAAGUCCAGGAGGAAGAAAUGGAUGAAGUCCUGGAGGACUCACUAGAUGAACAGUAUUUGACUCAUUCCAGCUGCCAUGACUCCCACCAGCUUCCCAGCAGCAAUGCCUUCCUCUUUGAUGCACAGGAAGGCCCCUUGGCUGUGGAAAUAGCCAAAGAUGAGAUCCAGAGCCAGUGGCAGCACCUGAAGGAGACCCUUUUCAUCAACAACUGCCUGUGAGAAAAGCUAGAACGUCAUCACAGCAGCUUUGAUGAAGAAAAUGGUAGGAGAGGCCCAAGCAAAUCAUAGAUUCCAUUGUCCAGCUGUAUAAUGAAAACAGAGUUCUCAGAGAAGAAUACCGGAGACUCCCCCGACUUGCCUGAAUCAAAUUUCCAGAGGUAACAACUAAUGUUGGAACUAUGGAAAGUUCUUCUCUACUUUUAACAAAGCUUAGUCACAAACAGUUCCCCAGUUGAUGAGAAAAACUAAAACAACAGAACAAUUGAAAGUCCAAAUCUGAAAGCUCCAUCUCUGAGAAGCAAAUUUUAUAGCCACUCCAGAUUUGUAUUCCAAAUGGAUAGUUUGAUUGUAGAAAUCACAUCCCUUCAGUCUGCAAA
Molecule: long non-coding RNA, 1065 nt
Filed under: Homo sapiens (human)
Lineage: Eukaryota; Metazoa; Chordata; Mammalia; Primates; Hominidae
Description: long intergenic non-protein coding RNA 869
Source: RNAcentral